Molecule: long non-coding RNA, 116 nt
Organism: Oncorhynchus tshawytscha (Chinook salmon)
Lineage: Eukaryota; Metazoa; Chordata; Actinopteri; Salmoniformes; Salmonidae
Exons: 3
Source: RefSeq, a predicted model, not a curated record
GUUGAAAGCCUUCCACAGGGACUCUACAAGGUGUUAAAAGCCUUCCACAGGGACUCUACAAGGUGUUGAAAGCCUUCCACAGGGACUCUACAAGGUGUUGAAAGCCUUCCACAGGG